CCUGGUGGAUCCUGCCAGUAGUCAUAUGCUUGUCUCAAAGAUUAAGCUAUGCAUGUGUAAGUAUGAACUAUUUCAGACUGUGAAACUGCGAAUGGCUCAUUAAAUCAGUUAUAGUUUAUUUGAUGGUACGUGCUAUUCGGAUAACCGUAGUCAUUCUAGAGCUAAUACAUGCAACAAACCCCGACUUCCGGAAGGGAUGCAUUUAUUAGAUAAAAGGCUAAUGCGGGCUUUGCUCACUACUCCAAUGAUUCAUGAUAACUCGACGGAUCGCACGGCCCUCGUGCCGGUUACGCAUCAUUCAAAUUUCUGCCCUAUCAACUUUCGAUGGUAGGAUAGGGGCCUACCAUGGUGGUGACGGGUGACGGAGAAUUAGGGUUCGAUUUUAGAGAGGGAGCCUGAGAAACGGCUACCACAUCCAAGGAAUGCAGCAGGCGCACAAAUUACCUAAUCCUGACAUAGGGAGGUAGUGACAAUAAAUAAUAAUACCGGGCUCUUCGAGUCUGGUAAUUGGAAUGAGUACAAUCUUAUCCCUUAAUAAGGAUCCAUUAGAGGGCAAGUCUGGUGCCAGCAGCCGUGGUAAUUCCAGCUCCAAUAGCGUAUAUUUAAGUUGUUGCAGUUAAAAAUCUCGUAGUUGGACUUUGGGAUGGGUCAGCCGGUUCGCCUCGCGGUGUGCACUGGUCGUCCCAUCCCUUCUGUCGGCGAUGUGUGCUUGGCCUUAACUGGCCGGGUCGUGCCUCCGGCACUGUUACUUUGAAGAAAUUAAAGUGCUCAAAGCAAGUCCACGCUCUAGAUACAUUAGCAUGGGAUAACAUCACAGGAUUAUGAGUAAUCAAAGUCUUUGGGUUCCGGGGGGAGUAUGGUCGCAAGGCUGAAACUUAAAGGAAUUGACGAAAGGGCACCACUAGGAGUGGAGACUGCGGCUUAAUUCUAGGUCCAGACAUAGCAAGGAUUGACAAACUAAGAGUUCUUUCUUGAUUCUAUGGGUGGUGGUGCAUGGCCGUUCUUAGUUGGUGGAGCGAUUUUUCUGGUUAAUUCUGAUAACGAACGAGACCUCAGCCUACUAACUAGCUACGCGGAGGCAUCCCUCCGCGGCUAGCUUCUUAGAGGGACUAUGGUCGUUUAGGCCACGGAAGUUUGAGGCAAUAACAGGUCUGUGAUGCCCUUAGAAGUUCUGGGCUGCAAGCGCGCUACACUGAUGUAUUCAACGAGUCUAUAGCCUUAGCCGACAAGCCCGGGUAAUCUUUGAAAAUUUCAUCGUGAUGGGGAUAGAUCAUUGCAAUUGUUGGUCUUCAAUGAGGAAUUCCUAGUAAGCGCAAGUCAUUAGCUCGUGUUGACUACGUCCCUACCCUUUGUACACACCGCCCGUUGCUCCUACCGAUUGAAUGGUCCGGUGAAGUGUUCGGAUCGAGGCGAUGGGGGCGGUUCGCCGUCACGCGACGUUACGAGAAGUCCAUUGAACCUUAUCAUUUAGAGGAAGGAGAAGUCGUCACAAGUUUUUCGUAGGUGAACCUGCGGAAG
This 1518-nucleotide ribosomal RNA is filed under the name Musa schizocarpa. RNAcentral describes it as "SSU rRNA". It matches the Rfam family "Eukaryotic small subunit ribosomal RNA". Lineage: Eukaryota; Viridiplantae; Streptophyta; Magnoliopsida; Zingiberales; Musaceae. The record is from RNAcentral.